UGAUCUAUCCAUGGCCAGGAUGAAGGUGCCGUAACAGGUACUGGAGGUCCGAACCCACUAAUGUUGCAAAAUUAGGGGAUGAGCUGUGGAUAGGGGUGAAAGGCUAAACAAACUCGGAGAUAGCUGGUUCUCCCCGAAAACUAUUUAGGUAGUGCCUCGAGGUACACUGAUGGGGGUAAAGCACUGUUAUGGCUAGGGGGUUAUUGCAACUUACCAACCCAUGGCAAACUAAGAAUACCAUCAAGUGAUUCCUCGGGAGACAGACAUCGGGUGCUAACGUCCGGUGUCAAGAGGGAAACAACCCAGACCGCCAGCUAAGGUCCCAAAUGAUAGAUUAAGUGGUAAACGAAGUGAGAAGGCCCAGACAGCUAGGAUGUUGGCUUAGAAGCAGCCAUCAUUUAAAGAAAGCGUAAUAGCUCACUAGUCGAGUCGUCUUGCGCGGAAGAUGUAACGGGGCUCAAAUCUAUAACCGAAGCUGCGGAUGUGCGCUUAGGCGUAUGUGGUAGGGGAGCGUUCUGUAGGCCUGCGAAGGUGUGUUGUGAAGCAUGCUGGAGGUAUCAGAAGUGCGAAUGUUGACAUGAGUAGCGAUAAAGGGGGUGAAAAGCCCCCUCGCCGAAAGCCCAAGGUUUCCUACGCAACGUUCAUCGGCGUAGGGUGAGUCGGCCCCUAAGGCGAGGCAGAGAUGCGUAGUCGAUGGGAAACAGGUUAAUAUUCCUGUACUUGAUUUAAGUGCGAUGUGGGGACGGAGAAGGUUAGGUCAGCAAACUGUUGGAAUAGUUUGUUCAAGCCGGUAGGUGGGGAGCUUAGGUAAAUCCGGGCUCCUAUUCAACACCGAGAAGUGAUAACGAGGUUCUACGGAACUGAAGUGACCAAUACCACGCUUCCAGGAAAAGCCACUAAGCUUCAGCUUAAAUCGAACCGUACCGCAAACCGACACAGGUGGGCAGGAUGAGAAUUCUAAGGCGCUUGAGAGAACUCAGGAGAAGGAACUCGGCAAAUUGAUACCGUAACUUCGGGAGAAGGUAUGCCCCAUAACGUUAAGGAUUUACUCCGUAAGCGAUGUGGGGCCGCAGAGAAUAGGUGGCUGCGACUGUUUAUUAAAAACACAGCACUCUGCUAACACGAAAGUGGACGUAUAGGGUGUGACGCCUGCCCGGUGCUGGAAGGUUAAUUGAAGAUGUGCAAGCAUCGGAUCGAAGCCCCAGUAAACGGCGGCCGUAACUAUAACGGUCCUAAGGUAGCGAAAUUCCUUGUCGGGUAAGUUCCGACCCGCACGAAUGGCGUAACGAUGGCCACACUGUCUCCUCCCGAGACUCAGCGAAGUUGAAAUGGUUGUGAAGAUGCAAUCUCCCCGCUGCUAGACGGAAAGACCCCGUGAACCUUUACUGUAGCUUUGCAUUGGACUUUGAAGUCACUUGUGUAGGAUAGGUGGGAGGCUUAGAAGCAGAGACGCUAGUUUCUGUGGAGCCGUCCUUGAAAUACCACCCUGGUGACUUUGAGGUUCUAACCCAGAUCCGUUAUCCGGAUCGGGGACCGUGCAUGGUAGGCAGUUUGACUGGGGCGGUCUCCUCCCAAAGAGUAACGGAGGAGUUCGAAGGUUACCUAGGUCCGGUCGGAAAUCGGACUGAUAGUGCAAUGGCAAAAGGUAGCUUAACUGCGAGACCCACAAGUCGAGCAGGUGCGAAAGCAGGACAUAGUGAUCCGGUGGUUCUGUAUGGAAGGGCCAUCGCUCAACGGAUAAAAGGUAC
This 1748-nucleotide ribosomal RNA is filed under the name metagenome. RNAcentral's name for it is "bacterial LSU rRNA". It matches the Rfam family "Bacterial large subunit ribosomal RNA", at positions 726 to 2466 of the family's 2925-position model. The record is from RNAcentral.